This 900-nucleotide ribosomal RNA is filed under the name uncultured bacterium. Its description in RNAcentral is "bacterial SSU rRNA". It matches the Rfam family "Bacterial small subunit ribosomal RNA", at positions 89 to 969 of the family's 1533-position model. The record is from RNAcentral.
GUCGGAGCGGCGCAAGGGUGCGAAACACGUGGGUAAUCUGCCAUGAAGUUCGGGAUAACUUGCUGAAAGGCGAGCUAAUACCGGAUGUGACAACCGAGAGGCAUCUUUUGGUUGUUAAAGUUGGGGACCGUAAGGCCUGACGCUUCUUGAUGAACCCGCGGCCUAUCAGCUAGUUGGUGAGGUAACGGCCCACCAAGGCUAAGACGGGUAGCUGGUCUGAGAGGACGACCAGCCACACUGGAACUGAGACACGGUCCAGACACCUACGGGUGGCAGCAGUCGAGAAUUUUUCACAAUGGGCGCAAGCCUGAUGGAGCGACGCCGCGUGGGGAUGAAUGGCUUCGGCCCGUAAACCCCUGUCAUUUGCGAUCAAACCUCAUUAUUUAAAAGAUGAUGAGCUGAUAGUAGCGAAAGAGGAAGGGACGGCCAACUCUGUGCCAGCAGCCGCGGUAAUACAGAGGUCCCAAGCGUUGUUCGGAUUCACUGGGCGUAAAGGGUGCGUAGGUGGUGAGGUAAGUCGGAUGUGAAAGCUCGGAGCUCAACUCCGAAAUGGCAUUGGAAACUACCUUGCUCGAGGGUUGGAGGGGGGACUGGAAUACUUGGUGUAGCAGUGAAAUGCGUAGAUAUCAAGUGGAACACCAGUGGCGAAGGCGAGUCCCUGGACAACUCCUGACACUGAGGCACGAAAGCUAGGGGAGCAAACAGGAUUAGAUACCCUGGUAGUCCUAGCCGUAAACGGUGCACGUUUGCUGUAAAAGGAAUCGACCCCUUUUGUGGCGGAGCCAACGCGUUAAACGUGCCGCCUGGGAAGUACGGUCGCAAGAUUAAAACUCAAAGAAAUUGACGGGGGCCUGCACAAGCGGUGGAGUAUGUGGCUCAAUUCGAUGCAACGCGAAGAAC